CGUGCUGCGCUGGCCGGAAGGAAGCGGCACACUUCCGCUUGCCUGGUCCGCAUUGAGUCCGGUCUGUUCCGGAGACUCUGAGCGCGGCCGCGGAGCUGCAGUGGCGGGGAGUGGGGUGCGGAUCUUGUGUUUGCGCACGCAGUCGCCGGCCACCUCAGGCCGGAGCUAGAGAUACGGCUCGGGAUAGGAGGGCCCGGCGGCUCUGAGGCAGGUUCGCCUCGAGCCGCACGGCCCGGAGCAGCGGCUCCGCGGUGGUCCCCGGGGCUUGAGAGGGGUGCGGGCCUGGGAGCCCCUGAGGGCCUGAUUUACGGAACUCCCCCUCCUUCCUCCUUUCUGCCGUUCCCUGCUCUGUGGCGGAUGCGCAGGGAUCAGUAGGGACGGCAGCAGUAGGGCCACUCGGGCCUGCCCCGCUUCCCGCAUUGCCCGGUUUGGCGCGCCGCCUCCGGGCCUUGGCAAAGCCCCAGCGCCCGAUUGUCACUGACCAGUGCUUGGAAGUCCUUUACCGACUGCCCGUCAGCGUCCCGCGGAGAGGAUUUUGCGUCUCCAAAGACGCCCCUCUUCCGAAAACAGGCUCCUCUGUGUUCUCAGUCGGGUAUAUUUUUCUGUCUCCAAACUAGAUUGGCAGCCGUUUUUUGAGAGCAGGGAUGGCCAUCUGGGACCUCCACCCGUGAAAAGGCGGCUCAUUGGUCUGACUCCAACACUAAAUUACGCCAUCCAGGAAGCCUUUCCUAGUCACCUCUGUUGGAGAUCGUCCUCCUUUGUGUGUCGGUUGUUAGUAAAGAGCACACGUUCUGUGGAAAGAUGUUGAGGUAUCUGCUGGAUGGCUUUGAUAGAAACAAAUGUCAGCUGUUUUUUCAGAUGGCAUUUGUCUUGUUUCAGCCUGGUUGUUGGUAGCUUUUCUGUCGCCUGGCUUGAGGGCAAGGACUGUAUGUUUAUUUUUCACGUUAAGAUGCCUUUAUGUGCAUGUGUCUGUUUCAUGAAUACAUAGGUGAAUUGAGUUCCCCUUAAAUAGGAUUUCCCUCUUAUUUUAUAGGUUUUUUUUUUUCUCUCAAGUUGUUUCACUCUGGGGGAAAUGUGACCAUUGUGAAAUAUCAUCGCUUAGUUAAAAAGAAAGUAGAAUUCAGCAGUAGCUGCUUUUUUUAAUACUAUGAAAAGACAUUCCUAAGCAAGAUGAAGCUUUGAGACUUUUCCUAAGUAGGACCUACUGCUGAGAGUAAGUCUUGGGGAGAAUAAGCCAAUUAAGAAUGAGUCUUUGGUUCUGAUAAAGUAACCAUGGAGGUGAUGGAUAAUGAGUGUAGGUCCUUGCUCACACUUCUGGCCAUAUGAGCCCGGAGCCAGGGAGGUACUAUAAAAGGAAUGGGCUCCUGUAAUGGACUGUGACUGCAGUGGUGGUAUAUAGCAAGACUUCCGGUUUGCAGUAGGUUUAGAAGCCUAAAUAGUCUCCCUGGUUGUCUCUGCCAGGGCCACAAAUAGUUGUGCUGUGCAUCUCAAAAGUGUGGUCUGGGGAUCUGCAGCGUCACUGUCACCAUCACUUGGGAGGUUGUUAAGAAAUGCAUGUUAUCAGGCCCUACCCCACGCCUACUCAAUUUAGAAUCUGUAGGGCUAGGGGACCACUAAUCUUUAAGAAGUUGAUAUGGUUAGGCUUUAUGUCCACACCCAAAUCUCAUCUUGAAUUGUAAUUCCCAUAAUCCCCACCUUUCAAGGGAGAGACCAGGUGGAGGUAAUUGAAUUAUGGAGGCAGCUUCCCCCAUGCUGUUCUCAUGAUAGUGAGUUCUCACAAGAUGUGAUGGUUUUAUAAGGGGAUCUUGCCUCUUCGCUCAGCACUUCUUCCUGCCUCCUUGUGAGGAAAGUGCCUUGCUUCCCCCUUUGCCUUCUGCCAUGUUUGUAAGUUUUCUGAGGCUUCCCCAGCCAUGCUGAACUGUGAGUCAAUUAAACUUCUUUCCUUUAUAAAUUACCCAGUCUUGGGCAUUCUUUGUAGCAGUAUCCUUUAUAGCAGUAUGUAUAGCUGUAUGGACUAGUACAGAAGUUUUCCAGAUAAUUCUGUGCUCGGAAAAGUUUGGGAACCACAGCAGAACCUUGUUACUCAACAUGUGGUCUGUGGGCUGUGCAGCAUGGGCAUCACCUGGGGUCUUCUGAGAAAAGCCAGGUCUCAGGUCCUACCCAAGACCUGUGUAGCCAAAAUCUGCAUUUUAAUAUGACCCCCAGGUCAUUUAUGUGUACAUCACACUUUGAGAAGCACUGCACCAGAAAUCUUUUAACACUGUUCAUUACAUCCAUCCCAUGGAAGUAUCUUGUCUUGGGAUCCCGAGGGUGUGAGUUCUUCCGUCUUACUGGCUUUUUCCUGUCUGAUACAUGAUGUCCAUUUUAAAAAUUUUAUUUAUUUUAACUUUUUGAGGUAGAGUCUAACUUUGUCACCCAGGCUGGUGUGCAGUGGGGUGAUUUCGGCUCACUGCAACCUCCGUCUCCCGGAUUGAAACGAUUCUCCUGUCUCAGCCUCCUGAGUAGCUGGCAUCACGUGCUGGCCACCACGCCCGGUUAAUUUUUGUAUGUUUAGUAGAGACAGAGCUUCACCAUGUUGGCCAGGCUGGUCUCAAACUUCUGAUCUCAAGUCAUCCACCUGCCUUGGCCUCCCAAAGUGCUGGGAUUACAGGUGUCCUCCACUGCGCCCAGCCCAGUGUUCAUUUUUCAAUUGUUUGACUUAGUAUAAACACUCUCCAUCAUUCCUGCCUUCUGUGACAACAGACUGUGCGUGUUUCCUCUGUCUACCUUUCAGGCAUUCCUUUUAAGUUUCAUGCAGCUACUCCUCCUCCCUCCUCCCUUCUCUUUCUCUUCUUUCUUCUUUUCUUCUUUCUUCCUCUUCCUUCUUCUUCCUCUUCCUCCUGUUCUUCCUCCUCCUCCUCUCUUCUUUCUUCUUCUCCUCCCUUCUCCCUUUUUGGAAAGAGGACUUACUGUGUCAUCCAGCCUAGAGUGCAGUGGCUGAAUCAUGGCUCAGUGCAGCCUUGCUCUCAAAGGCUCAAGCAAUCCUCCCAUCUCAUCUUCCAGAAUAGCUAGGUUACAGGCAUGCACCACCAUGCCUGACUAAUUUUUUAAAAAUUUUUUUGUAAAGAUUGGGGGUGGCAGGGGGUCUCUCUGUUGCCCAGGCUGGUCUCAAACUCCUGGGCUGCAGCGAUCCUCUUGCCUCAGCCUUCCAAAUUGUUGGGAUUACAGGCAUGAGCCACCAUGCCUGGCCUCCUCUUCCUCUUAAAAAUCAAUGAUUCUGUGGCCCGUGGAUCUGAUUUCCACUGAUACUCUGAUAACUCCUGUUUUUAUGUCCAGGUGUAUCUCCUGGUCUCCAGGUGCCAUAUGUCCACUGCCUAUUGGACAUUUCCAUGUGUGUAAACACCUCAAACUCAACAUGUUAAACCUUUUUCUAAUCCCCACACUUGCGGUUCCUUCUGUGUGCUCCAUUUACCUUAUUGCUCAAAUCAAGAGCCUAGAAGCCAUCCUUGAUUCCUCUCUAUUGUGUAAUCCACACAUCCAAUCAUCCAUUGAGUCCUGUUGGCAUUUAUCUCGUAAAUACCUCAGAUCUUGUUCACUUUGCUCAUCUCUGUUGCCACCACCGUAGUCCAUUUACCUGUAUGUAAUAACCAUAGUGAUCUUACUAAAAUAUAAAUCCCUUGGAGGCGUUUUGGCUUUAUUAUAAAAAUUAAGCUCCAUGACACAGCUUGUAAGGACUGCCACGAAUCAGGCUCUGUUUCCCUCUUCAACCUCUCCUUCACUUUCUAUUCACAUAAACCUCUGUCAGAGGUUUGUCACGUGGCUUAUAAAAAGUCUUAAACCCUCUUUAAUUGACUAGGUACUCUUCAGCCUUUAGACCUCAGCUUACACGAUCUGUGCUGCCUCAUGUUUAUCCUCAUACAGUAUCCGGUUCCACAGAAUCAUGGUUUUUCUUUGUGAACAACAGAAUACCGUGGAAGUGACAGUGUGGGACUUCUGAGGCUAAGUCAUAAAAGACAUCCCAGUUUCAGCCUUAGCCUCUCUUGGAUUGCUCACUUAGCGGGGAUGCCAGCCACCAUGUAGUGAGGACACUCAAACUGCCUGUAGAGAAGGCCACGUAGGCAACAGCCUGCACCACCUUGGCAGCCAUGGGAGUGAGCCAUCUUGGAAGUAUUAGGUUGGUGGGACAUUAAAAGUAAUGGCAAAAACCAAGAUUACUUUUGCACCAACCUAAUAGAUCGGCCAGCUACAGGUCAGCCUUCAGAUGGCGGCAUAAGAGAUCUUGGGCCAGAAGUGCCCAUCUAUGCCACUCCCAAGUAUUUGACACACAGAGACUAUGAGGAUAAUAAAUGUACAUUGUUUUUUUAAGCCACUAAGUUUUGGGGGUAAUUUUGUACAAUGAUAGAUAACCAAUACAAUAUCCACCGUAUGUAUGUGUUACGAUUUAUUUAUUCCCAUCUAGUUGGACAUCUAGGUUGUUUCUAGUUUUAUGCUAUUUCAGGGAAUGCUGUAAGAACAUACUUAUAUUUAUGUAACUCUUUAGGAUGUAUUUCUGGAAACAGGGUUGUUGGAAUUCAUAUUCUUUUUUUUUUUUUUGAGACAGAGUCUCACUCUGUCGCCCAAGCUAGAGUGCAGUGGCGCAAUCUUGUCUCACUGCAACCUCUGCCUCCCAGGUUCAAGCGAUUCUCCUGCCUCAGCCUCCUGAGAAGCUUGGAUUACAGGCACCCGCCAUCAUGCCGGGCUAAUUUUUGUCUUUUUAGUAGAGAUGGGAUUUCACCAUGUUGGCUAGGCUGGUCUUGAACUCCUGACCUCAAGUGAUCCACCCGCCUCGGCCUCCCAAAGUGCUGGGAUUACAGUUGUGAGCCACCAUGCCCAGCCCUAGAACUCAUAUUCUAAAUUGUGAUAAACAUUGGUAAACUACAUUCCAAAAAGGUUAAAGAUUCUAUUGUUUUUCUCUUCCACCAGUGGGUAUUAUGACACUUAUUUCUCCAUGCCAUUGCCAACAAUUAGUUUUUAAAUCUUUGCCAAUCUUAGGUGACAAAUAAUACAUGAUUAGUGUGCAUUCUUUAUUAAUGAGGUGAAGACAAUAUAUCAGGAGUUUAUUGGCUAUUUGCAUUUCUUUUGUAUAAUUUGUCUUUUUGUGUUCUUUCACCAUCUAUUUAAUCUUGCUGUGACGGGAUUAUUUAUAGAUUAUGAGUUUUUUUUGUUUUUGUUUUCGAGACAGGGUCUUGCUCUGUUGCCCAGACUGGAGUGCAGUGGCGCCAUCUCAGCUGACUGCAGAUUCAACCUUCUGAGCUCACGAAAUCCUCCCAUCUCAACCUCCUGAGUAGCUGGGACCACAGGCUGAGCACAGGGUUGCUCCAGGUGGGCCCAAAUGCUGAAGAGCCUCAUGUUAGAGUUUUUCACCUCUGCGAUGGAACUGUGGUGGACUCCAGUAUCAUCAUUCCAGGGAGGCAUAGCCGCACCAACUGUGUUCCCAGGUUUCACAUGGAGAAGGGUUUUAGAAAGUGCAGAUAGCCUUGAAACCAUUGGUUUCCUACCACUGUUUAUUUCAGCAUAACUUUUUUUGUGUGGAAUGCUAGCUCUGGAAGAGCAGAAAUAAAUACAGCUUAAGCUUUGAACCAUAUCCUGCUGUACUUUUUCUCAUAAGCUGGAAAUAGAAUUUUCUAACACCGUUUGUGGUUGGAAAUACUGAAUUUAAAUGGGACUGCAGAUAUAAACAAAAAGAACAAGAUGUGGAUUGAUGUGCCUAUUUCAGUAAAACACAGCCACAUUAUUUCUGAAAUAUGGAUACUAAAGAUGACAAGUAGAAAAAAAAUUGGAGAUGUGCACAGUUG
Molecule: long non-coding RNA, 5813 nt
Filed under: Homo sapiens (human)
Lineage: Eukaryota; Metazoa; Chordata; Mammalia; Primates; Hominidae
Description: HSALNT0258474
Source: RNAcentral